CGCAAGCCUGUUGGGCGUGAUUUAUGCUUGUCAUAGUUACUCUGAGA
RNAcentral lists this small nucleolar RNA (47 nucleotides) under Drosophila mojavensis. RNAcentral's name for it is "small nucleolar RNA R442". It matches the Rfam family "Small nucleolar RNA R442". The record is from Rfam by way of RNAcentral. Lineage: Eukaryota; Metazoa; Arthropoda; Insecta; Diptera; Drosophilidae.